CAAUAGCGUAUAUUUAAGUUGCUGCAGUUAAAAAGCUCGUAGUUGGAUUUCGGGUGGGAAUGGCCGGUCCGCCGUUUCGGUGUGCACUUGCUACGCCCACCUUGCUGCCGGGGACGUGCUCUUGAGUUCACGCUCGGGACACGGAGUCGGCGAGGUUACUUUGAGUAAAUUAGAGUGUUCAAAGCAGGCCUACGCUCUGAAUACAUUAGCAUGGAAUAACACGAUAGGACUCUGGCCUAUCUUGUUGGUCUGUAGGACCGGAGUAAUGAUUAAGAGGGACAGUCGGGGGCAUUCGUAUUUCAUUGUCAGAGGUGAAAUUCUUGGAUUUAUGGAAGACGAACUACUGCGAAAGCAUUUGCCAAGGAUGUUUUCAUUAA
This 377-nucleotide ribosomal RNA is filed under the name uncultured eukaryote. Its description in RNAcentral is "partial 18S ribosomal RNA". It matches the Rfam family "Eukaryotic small subunit ribosomal RNA", at positions 592 to 976 of the family's 1831-position model. The record is from RNAcentral.